RNAcentral lists this unclassified non-coding RNA (351 nucleotides) under soil metagenome. RNAcentral describes it as "partial contains 5.8S ribosomal RNA, internal transcribed spacer 2, and large subunit ribosomal RNA". The stretch from base 1 to 120 matches the Rfam family "5.8S ribosomal RNA", at positions 35 to 154 of the family's 154-position model. The record is from RNAcentral.
GAUGAAGAACGCAGCGAAAUGCGAUAAGUAAUGUGAAUUGCAGAAUUCAGUGAAUCAUCGAAUCUUUGAACGCACAUUGCGCCCGCGAGUAUUCUCGCGGGCAUGCCUGUCCGAGCGUCAUUUCAACCCUCAGGGCCCGCCUGCUUGCAGGCGCGGCGCUGGUGUUGGGGAUCGGCUACCCUGCCGUCCCCCAAAUACAGUGGCGGUCUCGCUGCAGCCUCCCCUGCGUAGUAGCAACACUCGCAUGCGGAGCGCGGCGCGGCCACGCCGUAAAACCCCCGACUUUCUGAACGUUGACCUCGGAUCAGGUAGGAAUACCCGCUGAACUUAAGCAUAUCAAUAAGCGGAGAA